CCAAGCACCUGACUUCUCUGGACCAACAUGGUAACAACUCUCCCUCCCUGGCUAGUUCUGGCCCUGGGUUUGAACCAACUUAGUCCUUCAUUCAGUGCUUCUGGCCUGAGCUCUCCUAACCCCCAAAGGUCAACAAUACAAGGUCAAGCAAGUUUCACUAAAUAAUCCUGGAAGAACAGGACUGCUUCUCUGGACAUUGUAUCCACCUCCUACUCUUCUGGUGUGCAGGGCCCAGGCAGCUAAUGAAAUCCUAUAGGCCAUGUUAAGGUCAGUGUGAGGAUAGAUUGACCUGGAGUCAGGUGAUCUCCCCAUGGCCCAAUCACCAUUUGUCCCCAUGCAAAGGCCAGCAAGGGCUUUGUCUCAGAAGAGGCUACUGUGGGCCAAGAGUUUCAGCUACGCAAGAAUUUGGAGCACAGCAGACCCCGGACAGCACAUCUACACCUGCCUUUCUACCUUCUCAGCACCAAGCUAAUGGAUCCUAAUCACAAACACUGCUGCACAGAACUUCUCUCUCCCAGCGAGGAGACAACCAAAGACUCACGUCCAAUAGGCAGAGUGUGCAGCGGCCAUGUGGGGCGGCCCCUUACAAAGUGGUUUCUCAGCAUGAAGGCCACAAUCUGCUGCUGAUACUCAUUCCUUUCAUGUUCCCUCUGCAACCUUUUCUAGGGGUUAUUCCUUAUCCUUCUGCAAACAAAGGGCAAAUGGUGAAUGUAACAAUCACCAACACACCUAGUAAAUAUGAAGGAAAAACAGAGCAUUCUUAGGCUAGCAAUAACUAAAUUAAUAACAUCUACCAUUUAAAAAGAAAAUGGAGGGGGAUAUGGUAUAAUUAUCCAAUUUUCAGAUAUUUUAACAAGGAGGGGAAAAUAAACCUGAAAAAAAUGAGAGAUACCAUGCCCUUAAUUCUAGAGUUAGUUCCAAGGCUGUAACUAACAUUAGUGGCUCUUCUCCUCCCUCCUUCCAUAUUACCUUUGAUUUUUGCUCAAUGGAGUUGAAUCUAACUUUUGCUAUCAGGAAGUCUUUGGCUGCAAAUAAUAGAAAAUCCAACGAAUAGUGGCUUAAAUAAACAGGGAUUUGUUUUUCUCAUAUAACAAGAUGUAGAAAGCAAUUUCUGAUGUUGGUCUAGCAAUGAUGUCAGGAAUCCAGGGGACCUAAGUCCAUUCCACUCUCACCCUCUCCCUCCUGAUCACAAGAUGCCACCGUGGGCGUCCUGGCCGUGUGCAAGGCAGGAGGACUAGAGAGGAAUAGACACCGGCUGCGUCUUGACUUUUAAUCAGCAAAGCCAAAGCUUUUCUAGGAGCGUCCAGCAGGCUGCUCCUUCUGUCUUCUUGGCCAGAACCCCAUCACAUGACCACUCCUAGCUAUGUUGGAGGCUGUGAAACCAAAUAUCUAGCAAAAAAAAGAGAGAGAAAUGUCAUAACGGACUUAGACCAAAUGUGAUUCUUUGGUCAUGGCAGAUUACCUUCCUCCAAACAACACAAGCAAGGAAGAGGUGAGGAAAUGACUGUGUACUUGGUGCACCUGCCUACACGAGAGCCAUAGUUUUCUGCUACCUUUUAUAGUUCCCUAUGUCCUACUUUAUAGUAGCAACUUCCUGGAUAAUCAACACCAAUCUGUUUGGCCAAUGUCCUGUACCCCCUAACAUUUAUCUAACCACCUGGUGGCAGAUCUGGUUCCACGGGGCUUACAUCAUGGUCCUCGUUGGAAGUAUUUCUCUACUGGGUCGUGAAACUUCCAGACCAGUAGAGUCUAGCUGCAGUGGUAAAAAUGCAUCAUCAAGCAGAGGCAUGAGUAGAUUCCCACCUCCACCUGGAGACUCUCAGCUUUUUAAAUUUUCUGGUUGUAGGAGGAGAUAGAAGCAUAUAAAAGAACUUAAAAUUAUUAAUGAAUUCAUAGUUCCUUUAUCUCUUUAUAUCUUUUCUCAACCAGUCAUUACCAAACAAGAGUGAUAUGAGUGUCUGUGAAAUGGUUUUGACUUUCAAAACCCUUUCAAAAGGGUUCUCCAUUCUUGAAGGAAGACAGAGACCCACUGGUCCAGUGGGAAGAUGUCCAGGAGUUAGAAGUUUUUUGUGUUCAGGCUGGCUCUGCAGCUACCUAACCAGCUGGGCACCUUCGGAGAGAUCAUCUCCUCUGUCAGGACCUCAGCGACAUGCUCUGGAAGAUCAGCAGGAUGGACUAGAUGAUCACAAAGGCCCUUUCCAGCUUGCUAUAUUUUCUAAUUUAUUAGGAUUAGGAUUAAUUUAUUAGGAUUAUUAAUUUAUUAGGAUAUUCAUUAGAAUUAUAAAUUAGGAUCUAUUAACUUAUCUUGCAAUUUUGAAAUCUUAUGAUCCUAUUACUCUCAGGGUUGAACUUUCUUUGCUGUUCUUAGUUUGCCUCCGUUUCAAAAGAUAGACAUCCUCUCAUUUACCCUAAAGGGAAUGGGCUUUCUAGGUUAACUAGAAUAUACUGCAGUGGCAUGUAAGAAGACACCCGGUGGUGAUUGGUCAUACCAUAUUAUUCACAACUUCUAUUUUCAACAAUAAGAAAAAAAGGAAGGAAGGAAGGAGUUUGGUACAAAAGUCUUAAAUCUCCCCUAAGAAAAAUAAAGCAAAUUGAAACUGUCUGGAUUUUAUUGGGGUCUUUCACCUUCUAGACUCAUUGGCAAUGCAUCAAAAGUAACACAAGGUUCUAAGAGAAUUCAUUAAUGCCGAAGUUCAUUUAGUCACAUUUGGUGCAAAAAUGACGGUGU
Long non-coding RNA from Canis lupus familiaris (dog), 2728 nucleotides. RefSeq lists it as uncharacterized. The record is from RefSeq and is a predicted model, not a curated record. Lineage: Eukaryota; Metazoa; Chordata; Mammalia; Carnivora; Canidae. The transcript has 3 exons.